GGAUGUGAGGGUGAUCUGGCUGCGACAUCACCAGGGUUGAUUCAGCUGAUCUGGCUGACUAGGCGGGUAUCCCCUUCCUCCCUCAACGCUCCCCAUGCGUCCCUCCCAAAGCUGCGCGCUCCAUCCAAGAGGACGACCUUCCCCGAUAGAAGAGGACCGGUCUUCAAGUCAAGGGUAUACGAGUAGCUGUGCUCCCCUGCUAGAACCUCCAAACAAGCUCUCAAGAAAUGUGUAUCUCGUGGACAUCUAAGACCAAGAUACCAAUAGGUCUGGUGUCAAGUGAGGCCCAUUCCU
Molecule: small nuclear RNA, 294 nt
Filed under: Nannospalax galili (Upper Galilee mountains blind mole rat)
Lineage: Eukaryota; Metazoa; Chordata; Mammalia; Rodentia; Spalacidae
Description: 7SK RNA (ENSNGAG00000002831.1)
Rfam family: 7SK RNA
About the family: 7SK was discovered as an abundant small nuclear RNA in the mid-70s but a possible function has only recently been suggested. Two independent studies have found that 7SK RNA binds the CDK9/cyclin T complex (known as elongation factor P-TEFb). P-TEFb activates transcription by phosphorylating the C-terminal domain of RNA polymerase II.
Source: Rfam by way of RNAcentral